GGCUGGUGCAAAUGCAGUGGUGUUCACAAGUAAUUGAUCACAGCCAGUUACAGAUUUCUUUGUUUCUUCUCCACUCCCACUGCUUCACUUGACCAGCCUUAA
Molecule: Y RNA, 102 nt
Organism: Equus asinus (donkey)
Lineage: Eukaryota; Metazoa; Chordata; Mammalia; Perissodactyla; Equidae
Rfam family: Y RNA
About the family: Y RNAs are components of the Ro ribonucleoprotein particle (Ro RNP), in association with Ro60 and La proteins. The Y RNAs and Ro60 and La proteins are well conserved, but the function of the Ro RNP is not known.
Source: Ensembl